ACAUGUUGCUGUUUUUUUUAUCUUUAUUGCAGGAAGUGGAGAUGUGAUUGCCCGCUCAUCACAACCUUUAUUUGGUUUGAUGAUGAACAUGAGGAGCAAAGGAACAAUGAUUGUAGAGGAAUGGGAUUAGUAUUUAGCCAUGUUUUGGUAAGUUGUACUGCCGAGUGAAAAAGACACACCUGAGGCUAACUCCGACCACAUCCUGUAGAUUUUGUAGAAUGGAAGAAAAGUUCAAUCCUUUUUGUAGAGUUUUAGGUCUUCAUUAUUAUUUUUGUUCAGUCUUGAUAAAGCUGUGGAGCUAAAUUAUCAGUGGAUUGCAUUUGAUGAUGUUUGUUACCAUGUUCAGGUGACAGUGAAGAAUCCAAACCUCUUGUUGCUUGUGGUUUCGUUACCAAAUCCACCACCUGAAGCAAUGUCCUUUGAUGGACUUCCAUUAGGAGCUAUAGAAGCCAUUAAAGCUACUUACAGGACUG
This is a long non-coding RNA of Arabidopsis lyrata subsp. lyrata, 473 nucleotides long. RefSeq lists it as uncharacterized. The transcript has 3 exons. Lineage: Eukaryota; Viridiplantae; Streptophyta; Magnoliopsida; Brassicales; Brassicaceae. The record is from RefSeq and is a predicted model, not a curated record.